RNAcentral lists this ribosomal RNA (253 nucleotides) under uncultured bacterium. RNAcentral's name for it is "partial 16S ribosomal RNA". It matches the Rfam family "Bacterial small subunit ribosomal RNA", at positions 524 to 776 of the family's 1533-position model. The record is from RNAcentral.
UACAGAGGUCCCAAGCGUUGUUCGGAUUCACUGGGCGUAAAGGGUGCGUAGGUGGCGGGGUAAGUUUGAUGUGAAAUCUCUGAGCUUAACUCGGAAACUGCAUUGAAUACUAUCUUGCUGGAGGGUUGGAAGGGGGACUGGAAUUCUUGGUGUAGCAGUGAAAUGCGUAGAUAUCAAGAGGAACACCAGUGGCGAAGGCGAGUCCCUGGACAACACCUGACACUGAGGCACGAAAGCUAGGGGAGCAAACAGG